GGGCCCGUGGCGCAGUUCGGAUAGCGCGGCGACAACUGCAAGGUUGCCGUAGGCCUCCUAAGCCGUUGGUCGGGGGUUCAAAUCCCCCCGGGCCCG
RNAcentral lists this transfer RNA (96 nucleotides) under Candidatus Bathyarchaeota archaeon. RNAcentral describes it as "tRNA-OTHER". It matches the Rfam family "tRNA". From Rfam's summary of the family: Transfer RNA (tRNA) molecules are approximately 80 nucleotides in length. The record is from RNAcentral. Lineage: Archaea; Thermoproteati; Candidatus Bathyarchaeota. RNAcentral also lists the same sequence under 2 other names.